GCAUAACGCGAAGAACCUUACCUACUCUUGACAUCCAGAGAACGUUUCCAGAGAUGGAUUGGUGCCUUCGGGAACUCUGAGACAGGUGCUGCAUGGCUGUCGUCAGCUCGUGUUGUGAAAUGUUCGGGUUAAGUCCCGCAACGAGCGCAACCCUUAUCCUUUGUUGCCAGCGGUUAGGCCGGGAACUCAAAGGAGACUGCCAGUGAUAAACUGGAGGAAGGUGGGGAUGACGUCAAGUCAUCAUGGCCCUUACGAGUAGGGCUACACACGUGCUACAAUGGCGCAUACAAAGAGAAGCGACCUCGCGAGAGCAAGCGGACCUCAUAAAGUGCGUCGUAGUCCGGAUUGGAGUCUGCAACUCGACUCCAUGAAGUCGGAAUCGCUAGUAAUCGUGGAUCAGAAUGCCACGGUGAAUACGUUCCCGGGUCUUGUACACACCG
RNAcentral lists this ribosomal RNA (440 nucleotides) under uncultured bacterium. Its description in RNAcentral is "bacterial SSU rRNA". It matches the Rfam family "Bacterial small subunit ribosomal RNA", at positions 954 to 1392 of the family's 1533-position model. The record is from RNAcentral.